RNAcentral lists this transfer RNA (77 nucleotides) under Candidatus Izimoplasma sp. HR1. RNAcentral describes it as "tRNA-Asn (GTT) (tRNA-Asn-GTT-1-1, tRNA-Asn-GTT-1-2)". It matches the Rfam family "tRNA". From Rfam's summary of the family: Transfer RNA (tRNA) molecules are approximately 80 nucleotides in length. Their secondary structure includes four short double-helical elements and three loops (D, anti-codon, and T loops). Further hydrogen bonds mediate the characteristic L-shaped molecular structure. tRNAs have two regions of fundamental functional importance: the anti-codon, which is responsible for specific mRNA codon recognition, and the 3' end, to which the tRNAs corresponding amino acid is attached (by aminoacyl-tRNA synthetases). tRNAs cope with the degeneracy of the genetic code in two manners: having more than one tRNA (with a specific anti-codon) for a particular amino acid; and 'wobble' base-pairing, i.e. permitting non-standard base-pairing at the 3rd anti-codon position. RNAcentral also lists the same sequence under 5 other names. Lineage: Bacteria; Bacillati; Mycoplasmatota; Mollicutes; Candidatus Izemoplasmatales; Candidatus Izemoplasmataceae. The record is from RNAcentral.
GCCUAAUUAGCUCAGUUGGUUAGAGCACAUGACUGUUAAUCAUGGGGUCCUAGGUUCGAGUCCUAGAUUGGGCGCCA